RNAcentral lists this ribosomal RNA (990 nucleotides) under Triticum aestivum (bread wheat). RNAcentral's name for it is "partial small subunit ribosomal RNA". The record is from RNAcentral. Lineage: Eukaryota; Viridiplantae; Streptophyta; Magnoliopsida; Poales; Poaceae.
AUGCCGCCGAGACCUCCGCUUCCCCUCUCCGUCGCCGUCGCCGUACUCUCCGUCCUCCUCCUCACGGCGGAGGCGGUGCCCUUCGUCGUCCUGCACGGGAUUGGGGACCAGUGCGCCAACCGCGGCGUCGCCGAGUUCACCCGCCUCCUCGCCGACUGGUCCGCCGCCGACGGCCACUGCCUAGAAAUCGGAAGCGGGACAUGGGACUCCUGGCUCAUGCCUCUCCACCAACAGGCUGAUGCCAUUUGCAACAAGGUGAAGGAGAUGAAAGAGCUGAGCGGCGGCUAUAACAUCGUUGGCCUGUCUCAGGGGAACUUGAUUGGCCGUGCAGUGCUCCAGUAUUGUGAUGAUGGACCACCGGUCAAGAAUUUCAUCUCACUCGCGGGGCCUCAUGCUGGCACCGCUUCCGUGCCGCUUUGUGGUUCUGGUAUUUUCUGUGUUAUUGCUGAUGCCCUGAUUAAAUUGGAGAUCUACUCGGACUACGUACAGGCACAUCUUGCACCAAGUGGCUACAUCAAAAUCCCAACGGAUAUGGAUGAUUAUCUGAAGGGAUGCAGGUUUCUUCCCAAACUUAACAAUGAGAUACCCGGUGAAAGAAAUGCUACCUACAAGGAACGGUUCAGCAGCUUAGAGAAUUUAGUAUUGAUCAUGUUUGAGAAUGAUGUCGUCGUCAUACCCCGGGAAACUUCGUGGUUUGGGUAUUAUCCUGAUGGAGCCUUUGAGCCAGUCCUACCUCCUCAGCAGACAAAGCUGUAUCAGGAAGACUGGAUUGGUCUGAAGGCCCUGGACAAGGCCGGGCGAGUCAAGUUCGUCUCCGUGCCAGGAGGUCACCUGGGCAUCUCCAACAGUGACAUGAGGAAACACAUUGUGCCUUACUUGAAGGACAAACCAUCUGUUUCUGCUUCACUCGCCGCCACCUGGCACGCCGUCGGGGAAGCGCUCGGGCUGAUGGGGGACGAUGUCGGCGUCCUCCUUCAGUCCUCGACAUGA